RNAcentral lists this ribosomal RNA (500 nucleotides) under uncultured bacterium. Its description in RNAcentral is "partial 16S ribosomal RNA". It matches the Rfam family "Bacterial small subunit ribosomal RNA", at positions 30 to 523 of the family's 1533-position model. The record is from RNAcentral.
AUUGAACGCUGGCGGAAUGCUUUACACAUGCAAGUCGAACGAUGAACCUUAGCUUGCUAAGGGGAUUAGUGGCGAACGGGUGAGUAAUGUAUCGGAACGUAUCCAAUAAUGGGGGAUAACUAGUCGAAAGAUUAGCUAAUACCGCAUACGUCCUACGGGAGAAAGCUAGGGACCUUCGGGCCUGGCGUUAAUGGAGCGGCCGAUAUCUGAUUAGCUAGUUGGUGGGGUAAAGGCUCACCAAGGCGACGAUCAGUAGCUGGUCUGAGAGGAGGACCAGCCACACUGGAACUGAGACACGGUCCAGACUCCUACGGGAGGCAGCAGUGGGGAAUUUUGGACAAUGGGCGAAAGCCUGAUCCAGCCAUUCCGCGUGAGUGAAGAAGGCCUUCGGGUUGUAAAGCUCUUUCGCAAGAGAAGAAAACUUAAGCUCUAACAUAGCUUGAGGUUGACGGUACCUUGAUAAGAAGCACCGGCUAACUACGUGCCAGCCGCCGCGGUAA